Molecule: ribosomal RNA, 443 nt
Filed under: uncultured bacterium
Lineage: Bacteria
Description: partial 16S ribosomal RNA
Rfam family: Bacterial small subunit ribosomal RNA
Source: RNAcentral
CCUACGGGGGGCAGCAGUGGGGAAUAUUGGGCAAUGGGCGCAAGCCUGACCCAGCAACGCCGCGUGAAGGAAGAAGGCUUUCGGGUUGUAAACUUCUUUUCUCAGGGACGAAGCAAGUGACGGUACCUGAGGAAUAAGCCACGGCUAACUACGUGCCAGCAGCCGCGGUAAUACGUAGGUGGCAAGCGUUAUCCGGAUUUACUGGGUGUAAAGGGCGUGUAGGCGGGACUGCAAGUCAGAUGUGAAAACCACGGGCUCAACCUGUGGCCUGAAUUUGAAACUGUAGUUCGUGAGUACUGGAGAGGCAGACGGAUUGCUGAGGGGAGCGGUGAAAGGCGUAGAUAUUAGGAGGAACACCAGUGGCGAAGGCGGUCUGCUGGACAGCAACGGACGCUGAGGCGCGAAAGCGUGGGGAGCAAACAGGAUUAGAUACCCGAGUAGUC